CCUCUCUCAGCCAUGAGCAGGCACAGGGCCAGCUGCUCAGGUUUGCAAGGGAACCAGAGAAACUGGUUCUCGCCCUCAGGACUUCCUCAAGAGACCAAAAAGUUUGGAGCCCAGUGCUUGACUCCAUCCACAAGUUCUCUUCACCACCAGAAGCACCAACCGCCCCUCACUCUCAGAUGACCCAAAGCCCUUCUCUGGGACCAGGGUGCCCACAGGAGGAGGAGGAACCCCCCACUCUGAGGGCGGCUGGGAGAGGAGCAGAGCACAGUGGCAGCUUGUCCUGCGGCCAGGGAGGAGGCUGACAGCAGGUGGCUGGUUACGCCUAUGGGACCUGCUUGGCGGGCUGGGUGGCUUUCUACAAGCUCAGCAUUGGCUGCGGCUGUGGAGCCUUCCUCACAGAGCGGUGCUGAGCGCCCUGGGCCUGCAUUUCCUUGGAGGUGGUGUCAGG
RNAcentral lists this long non-coding RNA (448 nucleotides) under Heterocephalus glaber (naked mole-rat). Its description in RNAcentral is "lncRNA (ENSHGLG00000035858.1)". Lineage: Eukaryota; Metazoa; Chordata; Mammalia; Rodentia; Bathyergidae. The record is from RNAcentral.